AAAGAUAAUGAAGUGGAAGGGUUACACUAACAAACACCAGUUCACACCUAUAAACAACUGACUAGUCUCUCAGACAACACCAGACUUGUUACUUGACCAGAUUGGGUGUGCCAUUUAUCCAGUGUUUGGGAUCCUUUACUGAAGCAUUAAGUAAGCAUGUCAGAGGAUCUCUUGAAAGCUGGUAUUUUGUGAUGAGAUGGAUCUCUAAUUUCUUCCCCAGACCAUCUAAUUCCUGAAUACAACCACCACAUGUGCAAGGUAAAGACACGUGCAGAGGGCCUCUGCUAUGGAACACCUCAUGCCAGAAAGAUGGAUGAGUCCUCCCCUUCCUCCUUUUAGAGGAAAAUUGCAUAUAUGAAGAGGUUUUGGGGUGUGCCUAUACCUCUAGGAGGACAAAGUGGGUGAGCCAGGGCUGCUGCAUCCCAGGGAGACUUUGCUCCCCAGAGAGGGAAGACAGUGUUCCUCCACAAGAAAGCUGCUUUAGUCUCUGCCAGGAGCACUCUCAUAAUCCUGCCAGUGGAUCCUGCACUGGGGAUGUAGUGAGCAGCUGCUACUCCCCGCCAUGCAGACUCUCCACUGUUAGGAGCACUCUGCCAGUUUUUUGUUGGCUUCCACCAUUGC
Molecule: long non-coding RNA, 621 nt
Organism: Mauremys mutica (yellowpond turtle)
Lineage: Eukaryota; Metazoa; Chordata; Testudines; Geoemydidae
Exons: 5
Source: RefSeq, a predicted model, not a curated record